This is a long non-coding RNA of Vicia villosa (hairy vetch), 1562 nucleotides long. RefSeq lists it as uncharacterized. NCBI's taxonomy places the organism in Eukaryota, Viridiplantae, Streptophyta, Magnoliopsida, Fabales, Fabaceae. The transcript has 2 exons. The record is from RefSeq and is a predicted model, not a curated record.
GAUACAAUUCUAAAAGUGAUAUAGAUUUUAGAUGAUGGCAGUGAGAUGUUGCUAAACUGAGUGUAGUAGAACGAUGAUUUCAAGCCGGUGAUACGAGCAAAAGUGGUCGCGCCACCGUUAAAAGAUAAGUCGCAGUGCUGUUGCAUUUCUAUUCAAUCGUUAUUUAUGGUGAUAUCACCUUAUUUGUUGAAUUUAAUCACUUUAUAAAUAUCUUUGAUUUAUUUCUCUAGCUGGAGUCAGGAAGGGCAAGGCCGAAAAUGACAGAGCAAGUCAUAUUUAGCCGAUAACGUGGGGCUUUCUAUACAGAACACUUCCAGCUACUGACAGAAGCAAAGUCAAAAUCACUUAUGGCGAUAUAAAGCUAACAUCUAUGUUGCUAGGCAUUCUCUGGAAGCAGUUAAUUGAUAAAGAUCACAUAUACAUCGUUGGUGCGACUACUGACAUCAAGCCAAACCGAGGUCAUUGGAACGACAGGUUGUAAUGGUUAGCGGGAUAUAUGUCGAUUACAGAUCGUGAUCAUAGUAAUGUUGACCACUUCCGUUUCAGUGAAAGAUAAGUAACUCAUUCAUAAUGCUUAUGAUUUAACAUAAAUUCUCUUAUUGUGCACUGUGAUAACACAUCACAUAAUUCUGUAUAAAGUUCUCCUAUCAAAAUGGGAAUUAUUGAUUGAAAUGCUGGUAUGCAUGUUGUGUUGGUGGCAUCAUGUGCUUUUAUACAAUGAUAACAAUAAUGUAUACAAAAAUCUUGAUGAAACACUACCCAUAUGCAUCAUGUACACCUAGACUACAAUAACAUAUCACCUUCAUUCAUAAUACACAGACGCACGGAUUUUCAUAGUACAUUCGCGAUACGUAGAGGAAAUUACGUGAAUGCGCAUCACACACCAUUGGAAAUUCAAUAUAAUGUAAAUUUAUGAGGAUUAAGUGUGGUAUUAAAGCACCUGUGUCGGUUUCUUUCUAAUAUAAAGAAAUUGAAUGCAACAACAUUGUUGUUCGAGGCAUCACGAUUCUUGCUCCUGUGAAUUCACCAAAUACCGAUGGGAUCAACCCUACUCCUGCACGAAUACACAGAUUUAGGACUGUUAUAUAGUGUCCGGGGAUGACUAUGUGGUUGUGAAGAGCGGGUGGGACGAGUACGUUAUUGCUUAUGGAAUGCCGACUAAGUAACCUAGUCGACCAUCAUUUACAGUUUCAAAGUUAUGGUAAGGAAUGUGGGAUGGUAAUCGUGGCAGAGCAAAUGCUUCCGAUUUGAAGUAUGUUGGAUGUGGUGGUCCAAUCCUUUCAUAUUGGUGUGCAGGUUCAGAGGUGAGUGCAGUAGAAUUGUUUUUAAGUGUUUGCGCAGGUUUGAGUGUUGAUGCAGACUGUAUGGUCUUUGGUAUCAAGGAAAAAGUGGAGAGUAUUGCUUAGUCACAGAUAGAGAAAGAUUGACGAUUGGGAUCUUGAUCAUGAAGAUACAAGUUAGGCGUAGCUUUUCAUAUGAUUUUCUAUGUAAUCUUGAGAUAAUAUUGACAAUAUAAGGACAAAUUCCAAGUAAUCAAAAUAACUUUCUUUUUUUAAAAUGAA